Molecule: ribosomal RNA, 439 nt
Filed under: uncultured bacterium
Lineage: Bacteria
Description: partial 16S ribosomal RNA
Rfam family: Bacterial small subunit ribosomal RNA
Source: RNAcentral
CUACGGGAGGCAGCAGUGAGGAAUAUUGCACAAUGGGGGGAACCCUGAUGCAGCAACGCCGCGUGGAGGAUGACGCAUCUCGGUGUGUAAACUCCUUUUAUAUGUCAAGAAAAUGACGGUAGCAUAUGAAUAAGCACCGGCUAACUCCGUGCCAGCAGCCGCGGUAAUACGGAGGGUGCAAGCGUUACUCGGAAUCACUGGGCGUAAAGGACGCGUAGGCGGGUUGGAAAGUCAGGUGUGAAAUCCUACAGCUUAACUGUAGAACUGCACUUGAAACUUCUAAUCUAGAGUAUGGGAGGGGGAGAUGGAAUUAGUGGUGUAGGGGUAAAAUCCGUAGAUAUCACUAGGAAUACCUAAAGCGAAGGCGAUCUCCUGGAACAUUACUGACGCUAAGGCGUGAAAGCGUGGGGAACAAACAGGAUUAGAUACCCGGGUAGUC